GUGAAAUACAUUUUUUUUUAAAUUGCACCCUUGAUCAAGGCACAUACCCCCCUACAAAGUAGAAUAACUACACUGUAUAAAACACAUGUGGUCAACCCCCCAUCUGGAGAGAUACUGGGUGUGUAGGCCCCGAAACACACAGUCUGCUUAUCAACAAUGCAAACAAAUACUUUUAUGUCUUUAUACAUUUAUUCACUCAUUCAAUGAAUCAGGGAUAAAAUGGAUCAGGUAGGUUACUUCAAAGCAAGGUAGCUAACUGUCACAGUUGUCGUCUGGAAUGGAGGACCAAAACGCAGCAGGAAUGUGGAUGCUCAUCUUGAUGUUUAUUUUAACUCAAAGAGAACACCAAAAUAACAAACAAAGAACGAACAAACGAUCAACUAAACAGUCUUGUAACGCUCACACACGCCAAACAAGAAACAAUCUCCCACAAACACUAAACCAAACACAUACCAAUAUAUAGGACUCUCAAUCAGAGGCAACGAGAAAGCACCUGCCUCCAAUUGAGAGUCCAACCCCCCAUUAACCUAAACAUAGAAAUACAACAAACCCGAAAGAACAUAGAAAUACCAAAACAUAGAACAUAGACCAAAACCCCGGAAAUAAUAAAUCAAACGCCCUACUACAUAAAACACCACCCCGAACCACAUAAAACAAAUACCCUCUGCCACGUCCUGACCAAACUACAAUAACAAAUAACCUUUAUACUGGUCAGGACGUGACACUAACUAAGACAUGUUUAUCUAUAACCUUAUGAGGCUAAAAUAGUCAUGUUUUAGGGGAUAUCUAUGCACAGCAUGGAAGUUAUUUGUCAAUUAGGCUAUUCCUCUAACAUUUAUAACUUCGUCGUCGGAAUUACAUGGCUAGCCGACUGUUUAAUAGAGGGAAAUCCCAGCUUUCAAAUAAUGGUGUCAGAUUUAUUUCUCAACAGUCAACAAAACUAAUGCUAAAUAACUAAAUAGUUAACUAGCGAGAUAGCUUGUAGCAUGGCAAGUUAUGUUUUGAAUUGGCUAUAUAGUUAGUCUAUCAUUAUUUUAUAGGCUUCCAGCUGCAGAAAUGACCCUCUCUCCUCAGGCAACAGCCACUCGCACUGGAACACAAGCAGACGAUGCACAGCACACACACAGAGACCCGCUGAAGGGAUUGUCAUGACUGUAACCCUCAUUAGACAAUUGGGACCAGCGCAUCCUGCGUAUACCGGCUGGCGCAUUCUCAAUCUGCGCAUUCUCAAACUCUAACAGUCUACUGCAUAACCGG
RNAcentral lists this long non-coding RNA (1257 nucleotides) under Salmo salar (Atlantic salmon). RNAcentral's name for it is "lncRNA (ENSSSAG00000120831.1)". Lineage: Eukaryota; Metazoa; Chordata; Actinopteri; Salmoniformes; Salmonidae. The record is from RNAcentral.